RNAcentral lists this ribosomal RNA (254 nucleotides) under uncultured bacterium. Its description in RNAcentral is "partial 16S ribosomal RNA". It matches the Rfam family "Bacterial small subunit ribosomal RNA", at positions 524 to 776 of the family's 1533-position model. The record is from RNAcentral.
UACGUAGGGCGCAAGCGUUGUCCGGAAUUAUUGGGCGUAAAGAGCUCGUAGGUGGCUUGUCGCGUCUGCCGUGAAAGCCCAUGGCUUAACUGUGGGCGUGCGGUCGAUACGGGCAUCACUGGAGUUCGGCAGGGGAGACUGGAAUUCCUGGUGUAGCGGUGAAAUGCGCAGAUAUCAGGAGGAACACCGAUUGCGAAGGCAGCUCGCUGGGACGUUACUGACGCUGAGACGCGAAAGCGUGGGGAGCAAACAGG